GCGUUGGGCGGGGCGUCCCUGAGAGAAAUUAACACAGUCUCACUCUGUCACCCAGGCUGGAGUGCAGUGGCUCAAUGUCCAUUCACUGCGACCUCCACCUCCCAGGUUCAAGCGAUUCUCGUGCCUCAGCCUCCCGAGUAGCUGGGAUUACAGGAGUAUUGUCAUAGGCAACAGUCCAGAACUCAGGAGAAUGAACUGAAAAUAAAUGCUGUGUUUUCAGAGAGUGCUUCACAGUUGACUGCAGGCAUUCAGCUUUCUCUGGCAUCAUCUGGCGUGAAUAAAAUGCUUCCUUCAGUUUCAACCACAGCUAUUCAGGUUUCCUGUGCUGGUUGUAAAAAAAUUCUCCAGAAGGGGCAAACUGCUUAUCAGAGGAAAGGAUCUGCUCAACUUUUCUGCUCCAUACCAUGCAUCACUGAAUACAUUUCAUCUGCCAGUUCACCAGUUCCUUCUAAGAGAACUUGUUCAAACUGCUCAAAAGACAUUUUAAAUCCAAAGGAUGUGAUUAGUGUCCAGCUGGAAGACACUACCUCUUGCAAAACUUUUUGCAGCCUAUCUUGUCUUUCAUCAUAUG
RNAcentral lists this long non-coding RNA (571 nucleotides) under Homo sapiens (human). RNAcentral's name for it is "HSALNT0004771". The record is from RNAcentral. Lineage: Eukaryota; Metazoa; Chordata; Mammalia; Primates; Hominidae.